CUUCGAGUACAUGUUAUAUCAAAACAAAAACGGGUAGUAGCCAAGAUCCAGUACACGACGCACACUAGAAUAAUAAGUUUACAUGUAUCAUACGGUAUAAGUUUGUGUGUCUUUAGAAAAGGAGGCAAACACGGAAGGCCGAAAUCAAUAUUUACCAUUUUGCAUAACUAUACACUUCCGAUAACCGUCCAGUUUGCGAAGAAUCACAGACUUACAGUUGAUAAACACACUGUCGACGUUAGCAACAUCCCGCGCAUGGAACUCCUACAGAUCUAUGACGAGAUUAACCUUUUGUCAAAUUAUAUAAUUGACGGU
This is a long non-coding RNA of Ruditapes philippinarum (Manila clam), 315 nucleotides long. RefSeq lists it as uncharacterized. The record is from RefSeq and is a predicted model, not a curated record. Lineage: Eukaryota; Metazoa; Mollusca; Bivalvia; Venerida; Veneridae. The transcript is spliced from 2 exons.